Molecule: ribosomal RNA, 431 nt
Filed under: Streptomyces sp.
Lineage: Bacteria; Bacillati; Actinomycetota; Actinomycetes; Kitasatosporales; Streptomycetaceae
Description: bacterial SSU rRNA
Rfam family: Bacterial small subunit ribosomal RNA
Source: RNAcentral
ACGAAACGCUGGCGGCGUGCUUAACACAAUGCAAGUCGAACGAUGAAGCCCUUCGGGGUGGAUUAGUGGCGAACGGGUGAGUAACACGUGGGCAAUCUGCCCUUCACUCUGGGACAAGCCCUGGAAACGGGGUCUAAUACCGGAUAACACUCUGUCCCGCAUGGGACGGGGUUAAAAGCUCCGGCGGUGAAGGAUGAGCCCGCGGCCUAUCAGCUUGUUGGUGGGGUGAUGGCCUACCAAGGCGACGACGGGUAGCCGGCCUGAGAGGGCGACCGGCCACACUGGGACUGAGACACGGCCCAGACUCCUACGGGAGGCAGCAGUGGGGAAUAUUGCACAAUGGGCGAAAGCCUGAUGCAGCGACGCCGCGUGAGGGAUGACGGCCUUCGGGUUGUAAACCUCUUUCAGCAGGGAAGAAGCGAGAGUGACGG